UACAGAGGGUGCAAGCGUUAAUCGGAAUUACUGGGCGUAAAGGGCGUGUAGGCGGCCGAUCAAGUCAGGUGUGAAAUUCCAGGGCCCAACCCUGGACGUGCACUUGAAACUGGUUGGCUUGAGUGCAGGAGAGGAGAGUGGAAUUCCUAGUGUAGCGGUGAAAUGCGUAGAUAUAGGGGGGAACACCAGUGGCGAAGGCGACUUUCUGGAUUGGCCCUGACGCUGAGGCGCGAAAGCGUGGGGAGCAAACAGG
This 253-nucleotide ribosomal RNA is filed under the name uncultured bacterium. RNAcentral describes it as "partial 16S ribosomal RNA". It matches the Rfam family "Bacterial small subunit ribosomal RNA", at positions 524 to 776 of the family's 1533-position model. The record is from RNAcentral.